AGCUCAGUCGGUAGAGCAGCGGUUUCGUAAACCGCAGGUCAAGGGUUCGAGUCCCUUC
RNAcentral lists this transfer RNA (58 nucleotides) under Clostridia bacterium. RNAcentral describes it as "tRNA-Thr". It matches the Rfam family "tRNA", at positions 9 to 63 of the family's 71-position model. From Rfam's summary of the family: Transfer RNA (tRNA) molecules are approximately 80 nucleotides in length. Their secondary structure includes four short double-helical elements and three loops (D, anti-codon, and T loops). The record is from RNAcentral. Lineage: Bacteria; Bacillati; Bacillota; Clostridia.